This 1137-nucleotide ribosomal RNA is filed under the name Pseudophacopteron aewagriini. RNAcentral's name for it is "16S ribosomal RNA". Lineage: Eukaryota; Metazoa; Arthropoda; Insecta; Hemiptera; Phacopteronidae. The record is from RNAcentral.
UAUCUAAAUGUUUAUUUAAUUUUGAGUAAAUUAUAUUAAUUGUUAUUUUACCGUUGGGGGAUGAGUAAUUAAAAAUUAGUAUAAUUUAUAUUUGAUGUACCUUUUGUAUCAGGUUUAAUUAAAUUUAUUGUUUAAGAAUUGGUUUUCGAAAAAAAAAGAUUUAAUUAUUUUGGUUUUUUAUGUGGAAUAAUAAAGAUUAAAAUAUAGUUAGUUUUGAUAUAAAUAACAUUUUUUUAUAUCUAAUUAUUUAAUUGUUUGAUUUAAUCAAUUUUAUUUAGUUUUAUAAGAUGAAAUUUAAUAAAAAAGUUAUCGGGGGAUAAUUUUUGAUAUUAAAAAAUAGUUUUAAAUUAUUUAGAAUUUAUUAUUUAUGUUUAAAAAUAUGUUUUUUUUGUAAAAAUUAUUUAAAUUAUUUUAUUUAUUAAAUUUCUUUUUUUUGUUAUUAAAUUGUUUAAUAAAAUUAAUUUUUUAAUUUAAUUAUGAUUAAAUUAGUAGAAAAAUAUAUAGAAUUUAGGAAUUCGGCAAUUAUAAUUUUCGCCUGUUUAACAAAAACAUCUCUGGAAGAAUAAAAUUUUUGGUUUUACCUGCUCAAUGAUUAAAAUUAAAUAGCUGCAGUAAUUUGACUGUACAAAGGUAGCAUAAUAAUUAGUCUUUUAAUUAGAGAAUAGAAUGAAUGGUUUGACGGAAUAUUAACUUUCUUAAUUUUAUGAAUUUGAAUUUGAAUUUUAAGUUAAAAUGCUUAAGUUUAUGAAAGGGACGAUAAGACCCUAUAGAAUUUAAAAAUUGUUGUGUAAUUGAAUUUUUUUGUUGGGGUGACAAGAAUAAAACAAUACUUUUUUUUACAUUUAUUUAUGUAUAGUGGAUCUUUUUUUAAAGAAAAUAAGUUAAAAUUACCUUAGGGAUAACAGUAUAAUUUUUAAGAAAGAUCUUAUUGAAAUAAAAGGUUAUAACCUCGAUGUUGAAUUAAAUAUAGAUUAGAUGCAGAAGUUUAAUUUUUGAGUCUGUUCGACUUUAAUUUUUUACAUGAUUUGAGUUCAGACCGGUGUAAGCCAGGUUGGUUUCUAUCUUUUUAUAUUUUUAUAAUUUAGUACGAAAGGAUUAAUUAUAUAAUUAAAUAAUUUAAAAUAGAUUAAAUUUAAU